UACGGGGGGGGCAAGCGUUGUUCGGAAUUACUGGGCGUAAAGGGCUCGUAGGUGGCCAACUAAGUCAGACGUGAAAUCCCUCGGCUUAACCGGGGAACUGCGUCUGAUACUGGAUGGCUUGAGUUUGGGAGAGGGACGCGGAAUUCCAGGUGUAGCGGUGAAAUGCGUAGAUAUCAGGAGGAACACCUGUGGUGUAGACAGCUUACUGGACCAUAACUGACGCUGAGGCACGAAAGCGUGGGUAGCAAACAGG
RNAcentral lists this ribosomal RNA (253 nucleotides) under uncultured bacterium. RNAcentral describes it as "partial 16S ribosomal RNA". It matches the Rfam family "Bacterial small subunit ribosomal RNA", at positions 524 to 776 of the family's 1533-position model. The record is from RNAcentral.